This 353-nucleotide ribosomal RNA is filed under the name uncultured bacterium. RNAcentral's name for it is "bacterial SSU rRNA". It matches the Rfam family "Bacterial small subunit ribosomal RNA", at positions 157 to 507 of the family's 1533-position model. The record is from RNAcentral.
GCUACGCUAAUACCGCAUACGAUCUAUGGAUGAAANCGGGGGAUCGCAAGACCUCGCGCGAUUGGAGCGGCCGAUAUCAGAUUAGGUAGUUGGUGAGGUAAAGGCUCACCAAGCCGACGAUCUGUAGCUGGUCUGAGAGGACGACCAGCCACACUGGGACUGAGACACGGCCCAGACUCCUACGGGAGGCAGCAGUGGGAAUUUUGGACAAUGGGCGCAAGCCUGAUCCAGCAAUGCCGCGUGCAGGAUGAAGGCCUUCGGGUUGUAAACUGCUUUGUACGGAACGAAACGGUGAGCUCUAAUACAGUUUGCUAAUGACGGUACCGUAAGAAUAAGCACCGGCUAACUACGUG